Hucho hucho (huchen) is the source of this 115-nucleotide ribosomal RNA. NCBI's taxonomy places the organism in Eukaryota, Metazoa, Chordata, Actinopteri, Salmoniformes, Salmonidae. The record is from Ensembl.
UAAUUUAACCAUACCACCCUGCAUCCCACUGCUGGUUUGCCACUGAAGCUAAGCAGGGUCGGUCCUGGUCGGUCUAUGGAUGGGAGACCAGAUGCUGGAAGUGGUGUUGGAAGGC